CUUCAGCGAGCCGAGCCGCAGCGGGCGGUCCGGCGACCGGUCCUUGCCGUAGGUCGCGAUGAGCGCAUUGGCCUC
This 75-nucleotide antisense RNA is filed under the name Amycolatopsis lurida NRRL 2430. RNAcentral's name for it is "Aspks sRNA". It matches the Rfam family "ASpks TB sRNA". Lineage: Bacteria; Bacillati; Actinomycetota; Actinomycetes; Pseudonocardiales; Pseudonocardiaceae. The record is from RNAcentral.